AGGUAAUAAAAUUAUUAAGGUUGAGUUGUCAACUAGACAGACAAGGACCUCAAGCAGUAUGAAAUCAUCCAAACGAGAAAGAUCAACAGGAUUGAAUGAUAAGCUUGACGAGCUGCGAAAGGAACUCGCAUCCAUCCAUGGGGGAAUAUUCCCUCAUUCUGUAUUAUCUACACAACAAAUCAGUACCUUGAGUGCACAGAAACCAAAAUCAAUUGAAGAGUUGGAGAAGAUAAUUGGCAAGUUGAAGACUGAAAAAUACGGAGGCAGAAUUCUUGAAGAGAUUGCUAGUUAUGAGUCU
RNAcentral lists this unclassified non-coding RNA (298 nucleotides) under Hevea brasiliensis (rubber tree). The record is from RNAcentral. Lineage: Eukaryota; Viridiplantae; Streptophyta; Magnoliopsida; Malpighiales; Euphorbiaceae.